GCAACGAGCGCAACCCUUGUCCCUAGUUGACAGCACGUAAAGAUGGGAACUGUAGGGAGACCACCGGUAACAAACCGGAGGAAGGUGGGGAUGACGUCAAGUCAUCAUGGCCCUUACGGCCAGGGCUACACACGUACUACAAUGGGAAGGACAGAGGGCCGCGAUCCCGCGAGGGGGAGCCAAUCCCAGAAACCUUCUCUCAGUCCGGAUCGGAGUCUGCAAAUCGACUCCGUGAAGUCGGAAUCGCUAGUAAUCGCAGAUCAGCAUUGCUGCGGUGAAUACGUUCCCGGGCCUUGUACACACCGCCCGUCACACCAUGGGAGUGGGUUGCUCCAGAAGUCGCUAGUCUAACCAGACGCAAGUUUGGGGGACGGUGACCACGGAGUGAUUCAUGACUGGGGUGAAGUCGUAACAAGGUA
This 419-nucleotide ribosomal RNA is filed under the name uncultured Lysobacter sp. RNAcentral's name for it is "bacterial SSU rRNA". It matches the Rfam family "Bacterial small subunit ribosomal RNA", at positions 1089 to 1498 of the family's 1533-position model. Lineage: Bacteria; Pseudomonadati; Pseudomonadota; Gammaproteobacteria; Lysobacterales; Lysobacteraceae. The record is from RNAcentral.